This 378-nucleotide ribosomal RNA is filed under the name uncultured bacterium. RNAcentral's name for it is "bacterial SSU rRNA". It matches the Rfam family "Bacterial small subunit ribosomal RNA", at positions 521 to 896 of the family's 1533-position model. The record is from RNAcentral.
UAAUACGGAGGGAGCGAGCGUUGUCCGAAGUUACUGGGCGUAAAGCGCGCGUAGGCGGGAAAUUAAGUGAGAAGUGAAAGGCUGGGGCUUAACCCCAUGCAGUGCUCCUCAUACUGGUUUUCUUGAGGGUGGUAGAGAGAAGUGGAAUGGCUGGUGUAGCGGUGAAAUGCGUAGAUAUCAGUCGGAACACCAGUGGCGAAGGCGGCUUCUUGGGCCAUUACUGACGCUGAGGCGCGAAAGCCAGGGGAGCGAACGGGAUUAGAUACCCCGGUAGUCCUGGCCGUAAACGAUGGAUACUAGGUGUCGGGGGUAUCGACCCCUCCGGUGCCGCAGCUAACGCACUAAGUAUCCCGCCUGGGGAGUACGGCCGCAAGGUUG